UACAGAGGUCCCGAGCGUUGUUCGGAUUCACUGGGCGUAAAGGGUGCGUAGGUGGCGAGGUAAGUCGGAUGUGAAAGCUCGGAGCUCAACUCCGAAAUGGCAUUGGAAACUACCUUGCUCGGGGGUUGGAGGGGGGACUGGAAUUCUCGGUGUAGCAGUGAAAUGCGUAGAUAUCGAGAGGAACACCAGUGGCGAAGGCGAGUCCCUGGACAACUCCUGACACUGAGGCACGAAAGCUAGGGGAGCAAACAGG
RNAcentral lists this ribosomal RNA (253 nucleotides) under uncultured bacterium. RNAcentral describes it as "partial 16S ribosomal RNA". It matches the Rfam family "Bacterial small subunit ribosomal RNA", at positions 524 to 776 of the family's 1533-position model. The record is from RNAcentral.